This is a long non-coding RNA of Ruditapes philippinarum (Manila clam), 578 nucleotides long. RefSeq lists it as uncharacterized. The transcript has 3 exons. The record is from RefSeq and is a predicted model, not a curated record. NCBI's taxonomy places the organism in Eukaryota, Metazoa, Mollusca, Bivalvia, Venerida, Veneridae.
GUAAAAGGAUAAGGGUUUGGUUGGGAUCGAAAUUCUUGCAGUUGUAAAUUUUGUGAAAUUUUGUUCAUGUUAUAGGGAUAUUAACAUGAAUGUCUUUAUAAUAUUAAGCGUGAUUUCACUUCUGCUAUGUUGUUUGCAAGUAGUUUCAGCCGACUGGGAUGAUUGGGACUGGGGCAUGGAGGACUGGGACAUGCCCGACCCAUGGGCAUGGGGAAUCUGGAAUCAUCACUUCAAUAAAAAGAUGGAUAACUUUUGGAUGCCAAAUCCAUUUCUAACUAAUUGGUUUAUGGACGACUUCAUGGAUUAAAAUAGAGUAAAGAAUACCUUGUGAUUGAUUUUAAAUUAGCUAGGAUCUGGGAAUAUAUAAACUAGAGUGAAGAUUAUAUGACUAGAAAUUAAGUCUGUGAAUUGAUCAUCUUUUGUUCUUGGGGCAUAUUGAAUGCAUGACGCUCGGUGAUAGUGGAUCGUUCUUUAAAUUGGUGAAAUGUUUCAUUAUUUAAUUGACAAAGUCCGAAUGAACUCGAAUGUGAUUAACUCUAUUUACAAAUAUGUGUCAGAAAUUAAAGUUAUAAUAUAAA